RNAcentral lists this ribosomal RNA (465 nucleotides) under uncultured bacterium. RNAcentral's name for it is "partial 16S ribosomal RNA". It matches the Rfam family "Bacterial small subunit ribosomal RNA", at positions 28 to 507 of the family's 1533-position model. The record is from RNAcentral.
GACGAACGCUGGCGGCGUGCUUAACACAUGCAAGUCGAACGGUGAACUCCGCUUGCGGGGGGAUCAGUGGCGAACGGGUGAGUAACACGUGGGCAACCUGCCCUCAGCUCUGGGAUAACUCCAAGAAAUUGGGGCUAAUACCGGAUAUGACCGCUGACCGCAUGGUCUGGUGGUGGAAAGAUUUAUCGGCUGGGGAUGGGCCCGCGGCCUAUCAGCUUGUUGGUGGGGUAGUGGCCUACCAAGGCGACGACGGGUAGCCGGCCUGAGAGGGUGACCGGCCACACUGGGACUGAGACAUGGCCCAGACUCCUACGGGAGGCAGCAGUGGGGAAUAUUGCGCAAUGGGCGAAAGCCUGACGCAGCGACGCCGCGUGGGGGAUGACGGCCUUCGGUUUGUAAACCUCUUUCAGCAGGGACGAAGCGAAAGUGACGUUACCUGCAGAAGAAGCACCGGCCAACUACGUG